RNAcentral lists this ribosomal RNA (778 nucleotides) under Phellodon yunnanensis. RNAcentral's name for it is "partial small subunit ribosomal RNA". The stretch from base 141 to 778 matches the Rfam family "Bacterial small subunit ribosomal RNA", at positions 1 to 967 of the family's 1533-position model. The record is from RNAcentral. Lineage: Eukaryota; Fungi; Basidiomycota; Agaricomycetes; Thelephorales; Thelephoraceae.
CGGGGGGCAUUAUUCGUAUUCGCAUCUUUAUUUUUUAUCAAUAAACUAUGUUUCAAUUAAAUAAAAUACUAAAUAAUUAAUUUAAUUUUUUAUUCUAAUAAUUCUGAUUAUAAUAAAUCAAAAGUAAAAACAUGAUAACGUAAGGGAAGAUAAUGACAUUACCUUAUUAAACAUUAGUGUUGUCCAAGUUCUGGUGCCAGAAGACUCGGCAAGGCCAGGUACACAAACGUUAAUCGUCUUAAAUAGGCGUAAAGGGUAAGUAGGCUGCUUUAUAAGUAACAACUUAAAUUUAGUUUAAUUAAUAAAAAAUAAAAAAUAAAAAAUAAAAAAUAAAAAAUAAAAAAUAAAAAAUAAAAAAUAAAAAAUAAAAAAUAAAAAAUAAAAAAUAAAAAAUAAAAAAUAAAAAAUAAAAAAUAAAAAAUUUUUUUAAUUAUAAUAAGUUAACAAUAAAGCUUGAAUCAUAUUGAAGGUAAAACAAUGCGUAAUGUAGGGGUAAAAUCUUAAGAUCUUACGUGGAGUUCUAAAAGUGCAAACUAUUAUCUAUUGAAUGAUUGACGCUGAGGAACGAAAGUGGGGACAGGGAAAAGGAUUAGAUACCCUUCCACCCCUCACUGUAAACGAUGAAUGGUAGCUAUUAGUUAUACGAUAAUUAGUGGCGAGGUUAACACGAUUACCAUUCCGCCUUGGUAGUACGAUCGCAAGGUUGAAAUCAAAAAAAUUAGUCGGUCUCGAAGCAAACGGAGUGGAGCAUGUUAUUUAAUUCAAUUAAUCCCGCACA